RNAcentral lists this unclassified non-coding RNA (314 nucleotides) under Hevea brasiliensis (rubber tree). Lineage: Eukaryota; Viridiplantae; Streptophyta; Magnoliopsida; Malpighiales; Euphorbiaceae. The record is from RNAcentral.
UGGAAUGCUUAAAGAUGGUUUGACUGAUGUUUAUAAGGAUUGUGGUAUGGGAGUUUGUGCAGAAACAUGUGCUUCUAAUCAUAAAAUUACAAGAGAGGAGCAGGAUGAUUAUGCAGUUCAAAGUUUCGAACGUGGAAUUGCUGCUCAGGAAGCAGGUGCUUUCGCAUGGGAGAUUGUACCGGUUGAGGUGCCUGGAGGAAGAGGAAAGCCAUCCAUUAUUGUUGACAAGGAUGACGGUCUAGGAAAGUUUGAUGGUGCAAAAUUGAGAAAACUCCGACCAAGUUUUAAGGAUAAAGAUGGUACUGUUACUGCUG